Molecule: long non-coding RNA, 416 nt
Filed under: Ananas comosus (pineapple)
Lineage: Eukaryota; Viridiplantae; Streptophyta; Magnoliopsida; Poales; Bromeliaceae
Description: long non-coding RNA (ACOM_LNC025742)
Source: RNAcentral
CUCUUUCCUCUUCCCCUUCCCCCUCCUCUCUCCCCCCUUAUUCAAAUCUCUCUCUCUCUCUCCUCCAUUUCUCCAUUGGGGUCUCCUCCUUCGUUGCUCCCCCAUGGAAAAGGACCUCUUUUAUGGCGGCGCCCCCAAAUGGGUGCCAGGCGCCGGUACCACCUCCGCGUCCGAGCUCACCGAGCUCAACAAUGGCUUCCUCAACCUCUCGACCUGGGACCAAUCCAACUUCGACUCGGCGCUGAGCUCCCUCGUCUCCUCCCCCUCCCCUUCCCCUUCCUCCUCCUCCCCCGCCCUCGACAACUUCGUCAUCCGAGAGCUCAUCGGCCGCCUCGGCACCAUCUGCAGCGCCUCCGGCGACGCCUCCCCCACCUUCGCCGGCUCCGGCGGCGGCAGCGGCAGCGGCCCCACUUCCN